Molecule: ribosomal RNA, 564 nt
Filed under: Streptomyces sp. 319D11
Lineage: Bacteria; Bacillati; Actinomycetota; Actinomycetes; Kitasatosporales; Streptomycetaceae
Also listed under: 3 other names
Description: bacterial SSU rRNA
Rfam family: Bacterial small subunit ribosomal RNA
Source: RNAcentral
UAGUGGCGAACGGGUGAGUAACACGUGGGCAAUCUGCCCUUCACUCUGGGACAAGCCCUGGAAACGGGGUCUAAUACCGGAUAAUACUUUCUCCUGCAUGGGAGGGGGUUGAAAGCUCCGGCGGUGAAGGAUGAGCCCGCGGCCUAUCAGCUUGUUGGUGGGGUGAUGGCCUACCAAGGCGACGACGGGUAGCCGGCCUGAGAGGGCGACCGGCCACACUGGGACUGAGACACGGCCCAGACUCCUACGGGAGGCAGCAGUGGGGAAUAUUGCACAAUGGGCGGAAGCCUGAUGCAGCGACGCCGCGUGAGGGAUGACGGCCUUCGGGUUGUAAACCUCUUUCAGCAGGGAAGAAGCGCAAGUGACGGUACCUGCAGAAGAAGCGCCGGCUAACUACGUGCCAGCAGCCGCGGUAAUACGUAGGGCGCAAGCGUUGUCCGGAAUUAUUGGGCGUAAAGAGCUCGUAGGCGGCUUGUCGCGUCGGAUGUGAAAGCCCGGGGCUUAACUCCGGGUCUGCAUUCGAUACGGGCAGGCUAGAGUGUGGUAGGGGAGAUCGGAAUUCCU